RNAcentral lists this long non-coding RNA (327 nucleotides) under Elaeis guineensis (African oil palm). RNAcentral describes it as "long non-coding RNA (EGUI_LNC034229)". Lineage: Eukaryota; Viridiplantae; Streptophyta; Magnoliopsida; Arecales; Arecaceae. The record is from RNAcentral.
GUCACGAGAAGGGUGCUUCGUCUUCAGAUGAAUAUAGCUAUGAUGAGUUCCUCGAAGGUGCUUCAUUUUCGAACAAAAAUAGCCACAAGAAGGGUGCUUCUACUUCAGAUGAACAUAGCCAUGAUGAGUUUCUCGAAGGUGUUUUAUUUCUGAAUGAAAAUAGCUACGAGAAAGGUACUUCAUUUCUGAAUGAAAGUAGUCAUGGACUUUGAGAACACGUAUAGUUGAUGAAGAAGACCUUGGUGACCAAGAAGCAAAAGCUAAAUCUGAAGGACCCUCGAAGACCUUUGAUGACCAUGAGUGAAGAAGCCCCUCAUCUCUAAGACA